CCAGACUCCUACGGGAGGCAGCAGUGGGGAAUAUUGGGCAAUGGGCGAAAGCCUGACCCAGCAAUGCCGCGUGAAUGAAGAAGGUCUUAGGAUUGUAAAAUUCUGUCCUAUGGGAAGAAACAAAUGACGGUACCAUAGGAGGAAGCCCCGGCUAACUACGUGCCAGCAGCCGCGGUAAUACGUAGGGGGCGAGCGUUGUCCGGAAUUACUGGGCGUAAAGAGAGCGUAGACGGUUCUGCAAGCCAGAUGUGAAAGCCCGGGGCUCAACCCCGGGACUGCAUUUGGAACUGUAAGGCUAGAGUGUCGGAGAGGCAGGCGGAAUUCCUAGUGUAGCGGUGAAAUGCGUAGAUAUUAGGAGGAACACCAGUGGCGAAGGCGGCCUGCUGGACGAUGACUGACGUUGAGGCUCGAAAGCGUGGGGAGCAAACAGGAUUAGAUACCCCAGUA
Molecule: ribosomal RNA, 447 nt
Filed under: uncultured bacterium
Lineage: Bacteria
Description: bacterial SSU rRNA
Rfam family: Bacterial small subunit ribosomal RNA
Source: RNAcentral